AGCAGUAGCCGCGGUAAUACGGAGGGUGCAAGCGUUAAUCGGAAUUACUGGGCGUAAAGCGCACGCAGGCGGUUUGUUAAGUCAGAUGUGAAAUCCCCGAGCUUAACUUGGGAACUGCAUUUGAAACUGGCAAGCUAGAGUCUUGUAGAGGGGGGUAGAAUUCCAGGUGUAGCGGUGAAAUGCGUAGAGAUCUGGAGGAAUACCGGUGGCGAAGGCGGCCCCCUGGACGAAGACUGACGCUCAGGUACGAAAGCGUGGGGAGCAAACAGGAUUAGAUACCCGAGUAGUCCCUGUCUCUUAUAC
Molecule: ribosomal RNA, 303 nt
Filed under: uncultured bacterium
Lineage: Bacteria
Description: partial 16S ribosomal RNA
Rfam family: Bacterial small subunit ribosomal RNA
Source: RNAcentral